RNAcentral lists this ribosomal RNA (253 nucleotides) under uncultured bacterium. Its description in RNAcentral is "partial 16S ribosomal RNA". It matches the Rfam family "Bacterial small subunit ribosomal RNA", at positions 524 to 776 of the family's 1533-position model. The record is from RNAcentral.
UACAGAGGUGGCAAGCGUUGUUCGGAAUUACUGGGCGUAAAGGGCGCGUAGGUGGCCUUCUUAGUCAGACGUGAAAUCCCCGGGCUUAACUCGGGAACUGCGUCUGAUACUGGAAGGCUGGAGUUCGGGAGAGGAAUGUGGAAUUCCAGGUGUAGCGGUGAAAUGCGUAGAUAUCUGGAGGAACACCGGUGGCGAAGGCGGCAUUCUGGACCGAAACUGACGCUGAGGCGCGAAAGCCAGGGGAGCAAACGGG